GGUCCCAUCGUCUAGCGGUCAGGACGCUGGCCUCUCGCCGAAGCCAGGGUUCGAUUCCCUGUGGGACCA
Molecule: transfer RNA, 69 nt
Filed under: Syntrophaceae bacterium
Lineage: Bacteria; Pseudomonadati; Thermodesulfobacteriota; Syntrophia; Syntrophales; Syntrophaceae
Description: tRNA-Arg
Rfam family: tRNA
About the family: Transfer RNA (tRNA) molecules are approximately 80 nucleotides in length. Their secondary structure includes four short double-helical elements and three loops (D, anti-codon, and T loops).
Source: RNAcentral